GACGAACGCUGGCGGCGUGCUUAACACAUGCAAGUCGAACGAUGAAGCCAGCUUGCUGGUGGAUUAGUGGCGAACGGGUGAGUAACACGUGGGUGAUCUGCCCCAAACUUUGGGAUAGGCCUGGGAAACUGGGUCUAAUACCGAAUAUGACCGAUACUCGCAUGGGUGUUGGUGGAAAGCUCCGGCGGUUUGGGAUGGGCCCGCGGCCUAUCAGCUUGUUGGUGGGGUAAUGGCAUACCAAGGCGACGACGGGUAGCCGGCCUGAGAGGGCGACCGGCCACACUGGGACUGAGACACGGCCCAGACUCCUACGGGAGGCAGCAGUGGGGAAUAUUGCACAAUGGGCGCAAGCCUGAUGCAGCGACGCCGCGUGAGGGAUGACGGCCUUCGGGUUGUAAACCUCUUUCACCAGGGACGAAGCGAAAGUGACGGUACCUGGAGAAGAAGCACCGGCCAACUACGUG
This 464-nucleotide ribosomal RNA is filed under the name uncultured bacterium. RNAcentral describes it as "partial 16S ribosomal RNA". It matches the Rfam family "Bacterial small subunit ribosomal RNA", at positions 28 to 507 of the family's 1533-position model. The record is from RNAcentral.